This 253-nucleotide ribosomal RNA is filed under the name uncultured bacterium. RNAcentral's name for it is "partial 16S ribosomal RNA". It matches the Rfam family "Bacterial small subunit ribosomal RNA", at positions 524 to 776 of the family's 1533-position model. The record is from RNAcentral.
UACGUAGGGCGCAAGCGUUGUCCGGAAUUAUUGGGCGUAAAGAGCUCGUAGGCGGCUUGUCGCGUCGAAUGUGAAAACUCGGGGCUCAACUCCGAGCUUGCAUUCGAUACGGGCAGGCUAGAGUUCGGUAGGGGAGACUGGAAUUCCUGGUGUAGCGGUGAAAUGCGCAGAUAUCAGGAGGAACACCGGUGGCGAAGGCGGGUCUCUGGGCCGAUACUGACGCUGAGGAGCGAAAGCGUGGGGAGCAAACAGG